AACGCAAAUCGUUCUAUCGCUCCCGAGCAAUCGGGUGAGGAAAGUCCGGGCAGCGCAGAGAAUCCGGCCAGGUGAAAGCCUGGGGGCUCCGAAAGGAAUUUCGGGGCAACAGCAAGUGCUACAGAAAAUAUACCGCCCUGAGCUUGCUUGGGGUAAGGGUGAAAAGGUGAGGUAAGAGCUCACCAGUUGCAGCAGCAAUGUUGUAAGCUAGUAAACCUCCGGAGCUGUAAGAUCAAAUAUACCAGGGCUUAAGGGCUUCUCGUCCGACCUGGAGGGUAGAUUGCUAGUGCUUCGGGGUAACCUGAAGUCCAGAUAAAUGAUAGAACUCGACAGAACCUGGCUUACAGAUUUGCAUUUUUU
RNAcentral lists this RNase P RNA (360 nucleotides) under Flavobacteriales bacterium. RNAcentral describes it as "RNase P RNA component class A". It matches the Rfam family "Bacterial RNase P class A". From Rfam's summary of the family: Ribonuclease P (RNase P) is a ubiquitous endoribonuclease, found in archaea, bacteria and eukarya as well as chloroplasts and mitochondria. Its best characterised activity is the generation of mature 5'-ends of tRNAs by cleaving the 5'-leader elements of precursor-tRNAs. Cellular RNase Ps are ribonucleoproteins. The record is from RNAcentral. Lineage: Bacteria; Pseudomonadati; Bacteroidota; Flavobacteriia; Flavobacteriales.